UACGUAGGGUGCGAGCGUUGCCCGGAUUUAUUGGGCGUAAAGGGCGCGUAGGCGGUCACGCACGUCCGUUGUGAAAUCGCUCGGCUCAACUGGGCGGGGUCAGCGGAUACGGCGUGGCUGGAGCAAGCUAGGGGGCAAUGGAAUUCCCGGUGUAGUGGUGGAAUGCGUAGAUAUCGGAAAGAACACCAACGGCGAAAGCACUCUGCUGGGCCGACACUGACACUGAGAGACGAAAGCUAGGGGAGCGAAUGGG
Molecule: ribosomal RNA, 253 nt
Filed under: uncultured bacterium
Lineage: Bacteria
Description: partial 16S ribosomal RNA
Rfam family: Bacterial small subunit ribosomal RNA
Source: RNAcentral